Molecule: unclassified non-coding RNA, 360 nt
Filed under: Hevea brasiliensis (rubber tree)
Lineage: Eukaryota; Viridiplantae; Streptophyta; Magnoliopsida; Malpighiales; Euphorbiaceae
Source: RNAcentral
UUGUCGCAUAUAGUGCAAUAUUUUGGAACGGUAAGUUGUCCAAUUUCCCUCGAUGACCACUUGAAUUUCAGCUCCAUGCCACCUAUCAUCAUUUAUCCUUUUUUCAUGCAAAUGAACAUGAGGAAUGUUCCGAUGAAUAUCUAUAUCCAGCCUGCAGAAUGAAAUGUAGUUUUGGCUCUUCAUUGAUGAUGAGAUCUCAAUAGGAAGUCCAGUACUCAUUUUGGACCAUAUCAAUGCCAUUUUUGCACCAAGACCAAACUUCCCACGUGUCUGCUUGAGACCAUAUUUUGUCCCAGACAGGACCCGUCCAAACAUAUUCGGGAUGUCAUCAUGUGGCAUUCCUUUUCCAUUAUCCUUGCA